This 711-nucleotide long non-coding RNA is filed under the name Rattus norvegicus (Norway rat). Its description in RNAcentral is "long non-coding RNA NONRATT009412". Lineage: Eukaryota; Metazoa; Chordata; Mammalia; Rodentia; Muridae. The record is from RNAcentral.
UAUUAUUGUCACUGUUGUUUAUGGAAGGUCAAGAAGAACCAAGAGAUGUGUUUCUGAAGGAAGCAUGAAAAUCAACAACAUCUCACUGAACAGUGAUGGCGCUGACUUUUCAGUUAACUCUAGUCUUCUCAGAAAUACUAAAGCUCAUGAGAUUGGCUAUGGUGAAAGUCUGAGUGCUGGGUCAAGAUUGACAACUCAAAGUGGGGUUUUUGAUUCUGACUUUGAAAAUAUUAGACCAAUCAAGAGCAAGUCUAUGAUAACUCAGACUUGCAAGAACAUUAUUCGACCAAACCAAAAGCCUUUGUCAAUUGUUAGGAAGCCUGGUAGACCUGCAAAAGUGAAAAUUUCUGGUAUAUCUGUGACUGUUAAUAGAAUUUCACCUCAGGAAAGAGAAGUAUGUGUUAGCAGUUGCUUACCUCCAUUAGAUCAGGAGAUAGUGUUAGAGAAAACUUGCCUAGAAGAAAAGCCUGACCAACAAUGCAGUAAUGUGGAUAAUAUCAAGCACACCAAUGUUGACAUAGUUAAGGAUGAAUCAAAUAGUACUGUUACUUCUAUACCUCUGAAGCAUUCAAUUAAGGCUAGAAAACCUUUGCAUUUCUUACAUUCAUUUGCAUCUUCUGGCUCACUUACUUACAAAAAUACCCUUCGUCAUAAAUCAUGUAAACUCCAUUUGCAUAAAUGCAAAAAUCCAAAGAAAAAAUACAGGCAGUC